RNAcentral lists this ribosomal RNA (1142 nucleotides) under Variospora flavescens. RNAcentral's name for it is "Klauderuiella flavescens partial large subunit ribosomal RNA". It matches the Rfam family "Eukaryotic large subunit ribosomal RNA", at positions 1 to 1447 of the family's 3401-position model. Lineage: Eukaryota; Fungi; Ascomycota; Lecanoromycetes; Teloschistales; Teloschistaceae. The record is from RNAcentral.
GACCUCGGAUCAGGUAGGGAUACCCGCUGAACUUAAGCAUAUCAAUAAGCGGAGGAAAAGAAACCAACAGGGAUUGCCUCAGUAACGGCGAGUGAAGCGGCAACAGCUCAAAUUUGAAAUCUGGUCCUUCCGGGGCCCGAGUUGUAAUUUGUAGAGGAUGUUUCGGGCGCGGCGAACGGUCUAAGUCCCUUGGAACGGGGCGUCAUAGAGGGUGAGAAUCCCGUAUGUGAUCGGCGACCAAGCCCAUGUGAAACUCCUUCGACGAGUCGAGUUGUUUGGGAAUGCAGCUCAAAAUGGGUGGUAAAUUUCAUCUAAAGCUAAAUACCGGCCAGAGACCGAUAGCGCAAAGAGAGUCAAAAAGUACGUGAAAUUGUUGAAAGGGAAGCGCUUGCAACCAGACCUGCCCGCGGGCGAUCAGCCGUCCCUCCGGGGGCGGUGCACUCGCCCGCGAUCAGGCCAGCAUCGGUUCGGGCGGCCGGAUAAAGGCCUUGGGAACGUGGCUCCUUUCGGGGAGUGUUAUAGCCCUUGGUGCAAUGCGGCCCGCCUGGACCGAGGACCGCGCUUCGGCUAGGAUGCUGGCGUAAUGGUUGUAAGCGGCCCGUCUUGAAACACGGACCAAGGAGUCUAACAUCUAUGCGAGUGUUUGGGUGUCAAACCCAUACGCGGAAUGAAAGUGAACGGAGGUGGGAACCCGUUCGGGCGCACCAUCGACCGAUCCAGAUGUCUUCGGAUGGAUUUGAGUACGAGCAUAGCUGUUGGGACCCGAAAGAUGGUGAACUAUGCCAGAAUAGGGUGAAGCCAGAGGAAACUCUGGUGGAGGCUCGCAGCGGUUCUGACGUGCAAAUCGAUCGUCAAAUUUUGGCAUAGGGGCGAAAGACUAAUCGAACCAUUGGAUUUUGGUGGCUUAUUGGGGUGCCGGGCGCCCCCAGUUCAGGCGCUCUAUGCCUGGGCGACGUCGCUAGUUGCAUGAAUGGCCCCCAGCGGUGGGUGGCCAAUAUGCCGCGGCCGCCCCCGUGCUCGCAGCGGGGGCGCCGUACACAGACUAGAUAGCGACGGCUGGUCCCCGGACCGGUUCAGAUAUAGCCGAUUCCACCCCGUGCAACGGGGGGAGCCCCGGGGCGAUCCCGGGGCUGCAGGUGAAA